GCGGAAGUAGCUCAGUUGGUAGAGCGUCUGCCUUCCAAGCAGAAUGUCGCGGGUCCGAGUCCCGUCUUCCGCUCCA
This 76-nucleotide transfer RNA is filed under the name bacterium. RNAcentral's name for it is "tRNA-Gly". It matches the Rfam family "tRNA". Rfam says of the family: Transfer RNA (tRNA) molecules are approximately 80 nucleotides in length. Their secondary structure includes four short double-helical elements and three loops (D, anti-codon, and T loops). The record is from RNAcentral.